RNAcentral lists this ribosomal RNA (465 nucleotides) under uncultured bacterium. RNAcentral's name for it is "partial 16S ribosomal RNA". It matches the Rfam family "Bacterial small subunit ribosomal RNA", at positions 28 to 507 of the family's 1533-position model. The record is from RNAcentral.
GACGAACGCUGGCGGCGCGCUUAACACAUGCAAGUCGAACGGAAAGGCCCCUUUGGGGGUACUCGAAUGGCGAACGGGUGAGUAACACGUGAGUAACCUGCCCUUGACUUCGGGAUAACUUCAGGAAACUGGGGCUAAUACCGGAUAGGAAUCCUUGCUGCAUGGUGGGGGUUGGAAAGCUUCGGCGGUUUUGGAUGGACUCGCGGCUUAUCAGCUUGUUGGUGGGGUAGUGGCUUACCAAGGCUUUGACGGGUAGCCGGCCUGAGAGGGCGACCGGCCACAUUGGGACUGAGAUACGGCCCAGACUCCUACGGGAGGCAGCAGUGGGGAAUAUUGCACAAUGGGCGGAAGCCUGAUGCAGCAACGCCGCGUGCGGGAUGACGGCCUUCGGGUUGUAAACCGCUUUCAGCAGGGGCGAAGCUUGUGGUGACGGUACCUGCAGAAGAAGCACCGGCUAACUACGUG